GAUGAACGCUGGCGGCGUGCCUAAUACAUGCAAGUCGAGCGAACAGAUGAGGAGCUUGCUCCUCUGACGUUAGCGGCGGACGGGUGAGUAACACGUGGAUAACCUACCUAUAAGACUGGGAUAACUUCGGGAAACCGGAGCUAAUACCGGAUAAUAUAUUGAACCGCAUGGUUCAAUAGUGAAAGACGGUUUUGCUGUCACUUAUAGAUGGAUCCGCGCCGCAUUAGCUAGUUGGUAAGGUAACGGCUUACCAAGGCAACGAUGCGUAGCCGACCUGAGAGGGUGAUCGGCCACACUGGAACUGAGACACGGUCCCGACUCCUACGGGAGGCAGCAAUAGGGAAUCUUCCGCAAUGGGCGAAAGCCUGACGGAGCAACGCCGCGUGAGUGAUGAAGGUCUUCGGAUCGUAAAACUCUGUUAUUAGGGAAGAACAAAUGUGUAAGUAACUAUGCACGUCUUGACGGUACCUAAUCAGAAAGCCACGGCUAACUACGUG
This 497-nucleotide ribosomal RNA is filed under the name uncultured bacterium. Its description in RNAcentral is "partial 16S ribosomal RNA". It matches the Rfam family "Bacterial small subunit ribosomal RNA", at positions 28 to 507 of the family's 1533-position model. The record is from RNAcentral.